GAUGAAGAACGCAGCGAAAUGCGAUAAGUAAUGUGAAUUGCAGAAUUCAGUGAAUCAUCGAAUCUUUGAACGCACAUUGCGCCCCCUGGUAUUCCGGGGGGCAUGCCUGUUCGAGCGUCAUUUCACCACUCAAGCCUCGCUUGGUAUUGGGCAACGCGGUCCGCCGCGUGCCUCAAAUCGACCGGCUGGGUCUUCUGUCCCCUAAGCGUUGUGGAAACUAUUCGCUAAAGGGUGUUCGGGAGGCUACGCCGUAAAACAACCCCAUUUCUAAGGUUGACCUCGGAUCAGGUAUGGAUACCCGCUGAACUUAAGCAUAUCAAUAAGCGGAGGA
Molecule: unclassified non-coding RNA, 331 nt
Filed under: soil metagenome
Description: partial contains 5.8S ribosomal RNA, internal transcribed spacer 2, and large subunit ribosomal RNA
Rfam family: 5.8S ribosomal RNA (bases 1-120)
Source: RNAcentral